RNAcentral lists this transfer RNA (72 nucleotides) under Phycisphaerae bacterium. Its description in RNAcentral is "tRNA-Thr". It matches the Rfam family "tRNA". From Rfam's summary of the family: Transfer RNA (tRNA) molecules are approximately 80 nucleotides in length. Their secondary structure includes four short double-helical elements and three loops (D, anti-codon, and T loops). Lineage: Bacteria; Pseudomonadati; Planctomycetota; Phycisphaerae. The record is from RNAcentral.
GCUGCUGUAGCUCAGUGGUAGAGCGCGUCCUUGGUAAGGACGAAGUCAUGGGUUCGACUCCCAUCAGCAGCC